CAGAUCUUAGACAUUCUUUGUGAGACAUAUCCAAAAAUGAAGGAUUUAAAAGGGGGCUGGUUAAUCCAUAAAGCUAUGGGAGGAUCGAGCCAAAGAAAGCUCAAUGUGAUCACCCCAGAAGAGAUGGUGUAUACAGGCAGCAGUCUUGUAAAGACCUGGGGAGGCCGUGGGUGUCUGUAUAUAAUGCCUAUACAACAGGUGCUGGACACAAUUCCCCUCCCUUUUUCAGCAAAGGAGUUCCAGGCCAUGCCUAGAGCACGAUGUUCUUCGUGUCAUGAACACAUCCCACUCCAGCUUCUCUCUGUUCAUGUACAGAACUGCUUCAGUACACCAGACAUCAAUGAGGUAUAUGAUAUAAACAAAAUGUUUAAUGUGUGAAUGUACAUAUGUGUACACUUUAUUACUGAUUUGUCUUUUAUAGUGACCGUGAAGUAAUUGUCUUGGAAGAUGAUACAACUGUGAGUUUUUAAUCACAUCUAAAGUCAUUGUAUCUCCCAUACCUUAUUUCUUUAAAUUGAUCAUCUGUAAUUAUAUAGGUGACCAUUAAUCCUGCGGACUCUGCUGUCAGUAUAAGUAUAUGGCAGUGCUGUACUUAGCUAAAGUAUAUUUUUUCUUUUCAUAAAUACACGUGUGUUAUAAUUUUUCCUAUAGCCACCCAGUUCUCCAGUGGGAUCUGACAAAAAUGUAAGAUGACAGAGCUGUAAAUAACCAAAAGGGUACAACAGAAAACAUGGAACAUGCAAAGAAGCAAUAUACAAAAAGUUUUAAGCAACUUUGAUGCUAGUCAGUAUAGAGUUCCUAUGAUUGCUUGUUCGCUAGUUAUUUUGAAAUUAUGUCUAUAAUAGGUUUCAUGUCCAUUGUGUGAUAAUGAAUUCACACAGGAGUUUAUCCAAAUACAUGCCAGCAUGUGUGGUGAAAAGGAAAGGCACAGCACCAUACUAGGUGCAGAUGACACCUCAAAGCACUUGAGCAGCUUAUCAGACAUCCUGAGGUUUCUACAAGAAAGAAUUGACACCACUAAAACCUUUAACAUUAAUGUGACAAGGGAGGACCUCUACCAGAGAGGUCUGAAACAGUGGGCCAGACAGAAACAGGCCUCCCCCAAGAACCAACUGCAUAUUUGCUUUAUUGGAGAACAAGGCAUUGAUGAUGGAGCACUACGUAGAAAGUUUCUUACCGAAAUGAUGUGAGGCCUUGAGUUGAAUUUAUUUGAAGGAGAUGCAUAUAAGGGCAAAAACCCUAAAUAUAGUAUUUCCUACUACCAGGACAACAGAUACAGGUAUGUGUAAUAUAAUGCCAUACAGCAAUUAAAGAGCAAUACAGCCUAACUGGCUUUUUACUGUCUUUACGAAUCUGUGGGGAGGUCAUUGCCACCAGUUUGGUUCAAGGAGGACCAGCACCAAACUUCUUUUCGACUUGGUCCUACCAUUUGUUGUGUCAUGGACAAGUAACAAAUGAAGAUUUGCUGGAGGUGACUGAUACAGAAAUCCAAAAUCUGAUUCAAAAGGUGGAAGGUGCAGGAGAGACACUGAGAGACUUUUCAUUGCAGCAUGUGGCUACACAGGUCCCAUUCACAGCGAUCAGAAAAAGGCUAUUAUUGAUGCCAUCAGACUGCAUUCAGGGAUUAGGCUCAUACCGAUGCUAACUAAGCUUAGGGAAGGACUGGCUAUCAAUGGUUUAGAUGAGCUGGUGCCACAUCAUCACCAGGUUUUCCAGCCGCUCUUCCUUCCCGGAAACCUAAAAGAAGUGGAUGCACACUUCAUUCUACAGGCUCUGUCUCCUGAGUUCAGUGGAAAGGGAUCAGUAAGACACCGAAAGGAAGUAAACAUUAUCAACUUUUUGCAGGACUUCUUGCAAAUCCUGGAAGGCCAAGGAACAGAGAAUCAAGAUGGGAGCCCAUCUAAUGCUUGUGGAGCAAAGCAAUUGUCAGUGCCAGGUUUCUUCCAGUGGGUUUCAGGUCAGACACAUGUGCCACUAACAGACGCCAAACGAGAUUAAUAUUGUAUGGCC
Long non-coding RNA from Girardinichthys multiradiatus, 2010 nucleotides. RefSeq lists it as uncharacterized. The transcript has 9 exons. The record is from RefSeq and is a predicted model, not a curated record. NCBI's taxonomy places the organism in Eukaryota, Metazoa, Chordata, Actinopteri, Cyprinodontiformes, Goodeidae.